AGCACAAGCAACCCUUCAGAUUAGAAUUAGAAUAUCCCACUGAUGUAAAUAAAAUGAAACGUCUUCUGUUUUCCAGCACUUCAACAGUCAGAAGCAACUUGUUUUUGAUCCAUAAAAAUUAACGUUGCACAAAAUUAUUCCAAAUGGUGGUUGCCCACCUGGUCCACUCUCACCUGGGCUGCUUGAUUUCCACUUCUGUACAGUGGACUCAAGUCACUGUAAAUGUGAGUGACAGGUCAAGUGGCUAAUAAUGACAACCCUGGAAUAGAAGACACCCCUUCCACAUCACCUGUGAGAGGGUCCAUUCAGCUCAAUCCUACAAAUGUUUACUCAGAAGUCCAUCAUUAAUUGAACAUUGGAGCACUCCGUGGAUCAGAUUUGUGUAAUAGUCCUCCCAGAACGACGGCAGAUACAGCAUUUCAGUUGGCAUGGCUUAGAAUGGAUAUUUUUUUGCCAAAAACAAGAUAUAUGGAUUUGUCUUCAUUAAGUUAAUCUAUACACACAGCUUCAGGGGUUAUCUUCAUUAAAGCUCAUGUGUUUAAAACACUCAAAGUUCACUUAAAAAUAAUCAUCUGUCCAAGUUCAAAACAAGUGUGAAUAUUACCCAAUAAAAAGCUGGAUGUUUUAGCAAGUUAA
This is a long non-coding RNA of Podarcis raffonei (Aeolian wall lizard), 636 nucleotides long. RefSeq lists it as uncharacterized. The record is from RefSeq and is a predicted model, not a curated record. The transcript is spliced from 2 exons. NCBI's taxonomy places the organism in Eukaryota, Metazoa, Chordata, Lepidosauria, Squamata, Lacertidae.